RNAcentral lists this long non-coding RNA (405 nucleotides) under Salvia miltiorrhiza (redroot sage). RNAcentral describes it as "long non-coding RNA (SMIL_LNC013143)". The record is from RNAcentral. Lineage: Eukaryota; Viridiplantae; Streptophyta; Magnoliopsida; Lamiales; Lamiaceae.
GAGAGCAUCCUCGAGCUACAAAGAAAACGUAGUGUCUGAAGUAUAUUGCUCAACUCGCAACGAAAUGGAAAAACAGUAUACAUGUAUAUGCUAUUACCACUUCGUCCCUUGCUGAGGUUGGGUAAACUCUCUUCACAUCGUCCGGAAAAGCAUGAGCUUUGCACGUAGGACACUAUGUGUCAUAAAAGAAAAANAAAUUAAAAAGCCUCAUGGUAAACUCCGUGUAUAAAAAAUCUAAGGUGUUGAGUUUUUGUUUAGAUUGGUCUUACAAGCGAAGGCAUACCUUUCAUCCAUGUAUUUAUGCACCUCUCCCCGAAGAUAUGCCCACAACUUAGAGUACUGUGCAGUCAUUCACGUAGUUAUAAUCAGAUAUUUUGGGUUACAUUCGAAGAAAAACCUCAAAUG